Molecule: ribosomal RNA, 198 nt
Filed under: uncultured bacterium
Lineage: Bacteria
Description: partial 16S ribosomal RNA
Rfam family: Bacterial small subunit ribosomal RNA
Source: RNAcentral
ACUAUUAAGUCAGGGGUGAAAUCCCGGGGCUCAACCCCGGAACUGCCUUUGAUACUGGUAGUCUCGAGUCCGGAAGAGGUGAGUGGAAUUCCGAGUGUAGAGGUGAAAUUCGUAGAUAUUCGGAGGAACACCAGUGGCGAAGGCGGCUCACUGGUCCGGUACUGACGCUGAGGUGCGAAAGCGUGGGGAGCAAACAGG